Molecule: ribosomal RNA, 765 nt
Filed under: uncultured Streptococcus sp.
Lineage: Bacteria; Bacillati; Bacillota; Bacilli; Lactobacillales; Streptococcaceae
Description: bacterial SSU rRNA
Rfam family: Bacterial small subunit ribosomal RNA
Source: RNAcentral
GACGAACGCUGGCGGCGUGCCUAAUACAUGCAAGUAGAACGCUGAAGAGAGGAGCUUGCUCUUCUUGGAUGAGUUGCGAACGGGUGAGUAACGCGUAGGUAACCUGCCUUGUAGCGGGGGAUAACUAUUGGAAACGAUAGCUAAUACCGCAUAACAAUGGAUGACACAUGUCAUUUAUUUGAAAGGGGCAAUUGCUCCACUACAAGAUGGACCUGCGUUGUAUUAGCUAGUAGGUGAGGUAACGGCUCACCUAGGCGACGAUACAUAGCCGACCUGAGAGGGUGAUCGGCCACACUGGGACCGAGACACGGCCCAGACUCCUACGGGAGGCAGCAGUAGGGAAUCUUCGGCAAUGGGGGCAACCCUGACCGAGCAACGCCGCGUGAGUGAAGAAGGUUUUCGGAUCGUAAAGCUCUGUUGUAAGUCAAGAACGAGUGUGAGAGUGGAAAGUUCACACUGUGACGGUAGCUUACCAGAAAGGGACGGCUAACUACGUGCCAGCAGCCGCGGUAAUACGUAGGUCCCGAGCGUUGUCCGGAUUUAUUGGGCGUAAAGCGAGCGCAGGCGGUUUGAUAAGUCUGAAGUUAAAGGCUGUGGCUCAACCAUAGUUCGCUUUGGAAACUGUCAAACUUGAGUGCAGAAGGGGAGAGUGGAAUUCCAUGUGUAGCGGUGAAAUGCGUAGAUAUAUGGAGGAACACCGGUGGCGAAAGCGGCUCUCUGGUCUGUAACUGACGCUGAGGCUCGAAAGCGUGGGGAGCGAACAGG